This 612-nucleotide ribosomal RNA is filed under the name Bacillus stratosphericus. RNAcentral describes it as "bacterial SSU rRNA". It matches the Rfam family "Bacterial small subunit ribosomal RNA", at positions 11 to 606 of the family's 1533-position model. The record is from RNAcentral. Lineage: Bacteria; Bacillati; Bacillota; Bacilli; Caryophanales; Bacillaceae.
GUUUGAUCCUGGCUCAGGACGAACGCUGGCGGCGUGCCUAAUACAUGCAAGUCGAGCGGACAGAAGGGAGCUUGCUCCCGGAUGUUAGCGGCGGACGGGUGAGUAACACGUGGGUAACCUGCCUGUAAGACUGGGAUAACUCCGGGAAACCGGAGCUAAUACCGGAUAGUUCCUUGAACCGCAUGGUUCAAGGAUGAAAGACGGUUUCGGCUGUCACUUACAGAUGGACCCGCGGCGCAUUAGCUAGUUGGUGAGGUAACGGCUCACCAAGGCGACGAUGCGUAGCCGACCUGAGAGGGUGAUCGGCCACACUGGGACUGAGACACGGCCCAGACUCCUACGGGAGGCAGCAGUAGGGAAUCUUCCGCAAUGGACGAAAGUCUGACGGAGCAACGCCGCGUGAGUGAUGAAGGUUUUCGGAUCGUAAAGCUCUGUUGUUAGGGAAGAACAAGUGCAAGAGUAACUGCUUGCACCUUGACGGUACCUAACCAGAAAGCCACGGCUAACUACGUGCCAGCAGCCGCGGUAAUACGUAGGUGGCAAGCGUUGUCCGGAAUUAUUGGGCGUAAAGGGCUCGCAGGCGGUUUCUUAAGUUUGAUGUGAAAGCCCCCG